RNAcentral lists this ribosomal RNA (492 nucleotides) under uncultured bacterium. RNAcentral describes it as "partial 16S ribosomal RNA". It matches the Rfam family "Bacterial small subunit ribosomal RNA", at positions 29 to 507 of the family's 1533-position model. The record is from RNAcentral.
AGUGAACGCUGGCGGUAGGCCUAACACAUGCAAGUCGAACGGCAGCACAGUAAGAGCUUGCUCUUACGGGUGGCGAGUGGCGGACGGGUGAGGAAUACAUCGGAAUCUACUUUUUCGUGGGGGAUAACGUAGGGAAACUUACGCUAAUACCGCAUACGACCUACGGGUGAAAGCAGGGGAUCUUCGGACCUUGCGCGAUUGAAUGAGCCGAUGUCGGAUUAGCUAGUUGGCGGGGUAAAGGCCCAUCAAGGCGACGAUCCGUAGCUGGUCUGAGAGGAUGAUCAGCCACACUGGAACUGAGACACGGUCCAGACUCCUACGGGAGGCAGCAGUGGGGAAUAUUGGACAAUGGGCGAAAGCCUGAUCCAGCCAUACCGCGUGGGUGAAGAAGGCCUUCGGGUUGUAAAGCCCUUUUGUUGGGAAAGAAAAGCAGCAGGUUAAUACCCCGCUGUUCUGACGGUACCCAAAGAAUAAGCACCGGCUAACUUCGUG